RNAcentral lists this long non-coding RNA (2333 nucleotides) under Equus asinus (donkey). RNAcentral describes it as "lncRNA (ENSEASG00005031742.1)". Lineage: Eukaryota; Metazoa; Chordata; Mammalia; Perissodactyla; Equidae. The record is from RNAcentral.
GAGGGGCGCCCGCUGCGGCCUCCAGCGGAAUGAAGCAGAGCGAGGGGCGCAGACACAGGGAGAGCGCCAUUGGGCCCCACACGCCCUUCUCACCCGCUCCCUGACCUCAAGGAAGAGCCGACCAGGCUAGGCCGGCCUCGGGCGCCUGAGGCUGUCCGGCUGGGCCCAACUCUGGAGGUGGCUCGGCCGGGGGAUUGGCCGGCUGGAGGCAAGGGGUGGACCUCAGGCUCCCCAGCCCCGGGGAGGCUCCCGCGCCACCCGCGCGCCUCGCGACGCGCCUCUUGCCGCUCUCAGGCUUAAGGAGAGCACAGCCGGGGCAGGGAUCCAUUCCUGACAGGGCGUCAAAUGCUGGGGUGGGGUGAGAGGGACAAAGUCCAAGGCCUUGGAAUCUGAGUGGAGCAGCACCGCACUGCCCGCGAACUCCCUGCGCUGGGGUCAGAACUAGCGUCUUUGCCCUACCCUGCGGAAGUCAGAACCGCCCUGAGCCGCGUCGUGAGUCGGAAAAUGCGUCUUAGAAAAACCCUCCAGGAGAGGAGCCGCUGGGGGACCACAGCGUGGGAUCUUCAUCCGGUCCUCCAGGGUAAUAAACUUUCGGCGGUUCGAGUUUGGGUAGCAACUGGUCGCGCGCCCUCGUCAGUGUGUUAGCCAUUUCCCUGGAAGCGUCCUUGGUGUCGAAAGCCCAGAGCCGCGAGGAAGCAGAUGACCGAGUCGGCGGAAAUGUCCGAGUGAACCAGCAGCGCAGCUCUCGGAUGGCGCACUGGGAGGGGGACAGCUGAGCACAGACUCAGUGCCCUGAGCGCAGCUGGGUCCUGUAGGCUCUGGGACUUCCCUCUCCUCACACCCAGACCCCGCAACUCGCCGUGGGCCCAGUGGCCUGUCUUCCAUGCCGGCCGUUGGCGCCCGGGGUGUCCGACCGACUGUGCUGCUCCUAGGUGGGCCCCCACAAUGCGUGCGCUCUAGACGCCAGCGUAGGCAAGGGAAGUUUCCUGGGCUGAGAGUGGAGAAACUCAACGGUCCCUCCCGGGCGGGCGCUGAGGCGCCGUGAGAGCACUGCAUGCAACGCCGCGCCGCGCUCAGCCUGGGUCUCCCUUUGGCCGUGGGGCACGCACCUGCCCUCUGCAGCAGCCAGGCUUGGACUCUGCCGAGGGGCUGCCCGGCCACGCGGCUUCCCCCAAAGCCUGGAGCUCGCCGACUCUUCCCUACCUUUCAAAGACCGCAGCGCUCGGGCCAGCGUGGCCCAGACUCCACUGUGGAACUUCGGAGGCUGGGGUGGGCGAAGUAAACACGUUUAUGGAAAAACCUGGGCUCAGGAGGUUUGCGGAAAGAGGGCUCAGCUCGUAGGUGGUUGGAAAUUCCGUCCACCCUGCGAGAAAAGCAGGCGGUUCCGCACACAACAUAUAUACACACGCGCACACACAGGGUGGGAAGGUGUGAAGCCCGCUGCUCGGGAGUUGCCCCCACUUUGAUGAAAAGGAAAUACGAAGCGUAGGAACAACUCUUCAGGUCACCACCCCGGGACUGUGUGUCCUGGAGGUCUGAAAGAAGAGAAAGUUCCCUCCAAAUCUUCCAAAUUGAGAAAAGCUGCGGAAGGAAUGAGGCGGUUAGAGAGAGGGGACCGCAAGCAUCCCCGUAGCUGGGGCUCAGGACUGAGCGCUAAAAUGAAACCACCCCUGUAGAUCCCACUAGGGAAAAUGUCUUUUUAAAACCCUUGAACUCUUAGGCAUUCUGCUACUUCCAUGCUUGUCAAAUCUACUUUGAAGCAGUUAAAUAAUGAAGGAUAUUAAACACUCUGGUCUCCGUUCCAAACUCACUCUUUAAUCUUUGCGAAUUUGAAAUUAGAAGGAAAGGAAAAGAAGAUCUGCUAUCCCUGAAUUAUGUUUUACCAAAGGAACGAAAAAUUCUAUACACUUCAGCAUAAAUAAAAUAGAAGGAAUUUUAUCUUAAUAAAAUAAUAUCUCGUAGCUUCCACCUGGCUCCCCAAUCACUGGUUAAUAACCUUUUGACAGUUUUUAGCCUUCUGCUUAUAUUUGUCCACUUAUAUUUGUUCACGAUGGAGAUUAUUUUAAUUGUCCUUCGGGGCGGCACAUCCAAAGCCACCUUUUGGCGGAAUACUUUUGAAUUAUACAGCCUCUUGGCUGCAAGAUCUGCGCCCCUCAAAGGGAGGACUUGCUGGGGGGGCGGAGGGCCAAGCCAAAUCCCCUCUGGCGUCUCGUCUGGGACGAAGGGCGUUUUGCUCAGGGUUGCUCACGAAUAUGUCUUCUAGGAAAAGGCUGUUUAAAAUGAGCGUGUGUUAUUCCUUUCUGUCACUCGGUCACCCUACUUCCAGAGUAGCU